Ribosomal RNA from Fukomys damarensis (Damara mole-rat), 129 nucleotides. The record is from Ensembl. Lineage: Eukaryota; Metazoa; Chordata; Mammalia; Rodentia; Bathyergidae.
GUCUGUGGCCACACCACCCUGACCGUGCCCAAUCUCGACUGAUCUUGGAAGCUAAGCAGUGUGGGGCCUGGUUAGUAAUUGGAUGGGAGCCAUUUUCAUAUUCCUUCCUUUUACCUGCAGGUGAAGACC